CUUUUUUUUUUUUCUUUUUUAACUAAAUAAUUUGAAAUGCAAACAGAGAGAAAUUCAGAAAUAGGCCAUCCCAAGAGAACCUUGACAGAGGCUAAUUCAGCCCUGAACAGAACUCACAGCCACGGCCUGAAUUUGGAGAAGCACCAAAGCCAUAUUUUGUCACUUGGGUGAGAAAAGGAAGUGAAGUGAUAUCAGGCUCUGCUCCCUUCCCCACAAAUAGAUGAGGAAAGUUGUCUUUGCCCAACCUCUGCCCCCAAUUCAACAGGCCUUCUGCUCUGAAAACUUUACAUCAUUGGCUUAUUUCCACUCAUACUUGGCCGAACUGACAAAUAUAUCUGUUUACUCUGGCUUCGAGCAAAGACUAGGCCUCUCCAGGGCCUAGAAUUUAAAAUGCUUAGCAGUGUAGCUGAUGGAUAUUGGGAGGAUUGUCAAAGGAGAGUUUCUCCGGCAGAGUGAACAUAGGAGAUAAAGAGAUGGAUGAACUCUCAAAGAAUCAAGGGCCCAGAAAACUCCAGAAGCAUAUUUUCCUGCUCAACACUGACAUUGGAGGGAUACUUCAGAUACAUUUUUUUCACCACAUCCCCAUACUAACCCUAAAUUAUCCAAAACUUGGAAAUAAAUUGAAGAAAUGUUUAUCCUCUCAAUGCAUUGAACAGAUUCAUGAGAGGAUCAUUUAAUUAGGACUUUGAUUUUGCCAUUCAGUACUUGUGAAAAGGAUGUUAACUUAUAGAUUUCUGCCCCAGAAGUUACAAUUUCAUUGCCCAAAAGAACAUUAACCAGUUUUGUAUAUUUUAGCAAAUAAUUUCCACAUUCCUUUUGACUGGCUUACAAUAUAAAUGUCUGUUCCUCAAGUUUUCUUUUUGAACCACCUCUACCUUCUUACUGAGUCACUCAUUAAUUAAUGAGUUGAGUGAAAUUUUUACAGUAUUUACAUAAAGUAUUGCCUUUCAUAUGUGUCAUGUGUCAAGGAGCCAAACUUUUCCUCCACUCUCUCAGAUUCAGAACUCGGGGUCUGCAAAUUCAACUCAAAUGGACAAAUCAGCAAGAAAGAAAAUAGAUUUUAAACAUGUAUGUAUGGGAGUUUGUAAAAAAAGAGAUGUGACUAAAGGGGCUUAUAUAUCAGGACAAGUGGAAGGGGAGACAGACACUUGUGGAAAGCAAAUGACUUCUUAGAAGGACUGGUGUAAAAGAGCACUUAGAAGAGAUGGGGGAUAUGAUAGUUUUGUGACAAUGUCUGUUUUGGUGUGGUGCCAACUUCUCAUCACCAAGAUCAGAGUUGCUCUCAGGGAAGGGAUUUAUGACAAUUGAGUUAUUUUGAGUUCUUUUGAAAGGCUCUACUCUUGGGCAGAUAAAGACGUUCAGGAUCUCAUCCUUUACCUCAAAAUAAUUUUUAUGCAACAGCAGCAUAUUUUGGACCCCUUCAUACCUUCACAUGUUUUAUUUAUUUUUUAAUUAUUUUUUUUAAGAUUUUAUUUAUUCACGAGCCAGAAAGAGAGGCAGAGACAUAGGCAGAGGGAGAAGCAGGGUCCCUGCAGGGAGUCUGAUGUGGGACUCGAUCCCAAGAGCCCAGGAUCUUGACCUGAGCCAAAGGCAGAUGCCUAACCACUGAGUCACCCAAGUGCCCGCCUUCAUAUGUUUAAAUUUUUGGAAACUUAUUUUCCAAAUUGCAGGUGUGGAAAUGUACAUGUCAAGGAUAGCAGAAGAGCCACACCUUAGCAGGAUCAGAGCCAGACUUUUUUUUUUUUUUAAUUUUUAUUUAUUUAUGAUAGCCACAGAGAGAGAGAGAGAGAGAGGCGCAGAAACACAGGCAGAGGGAGAAGCAGGCUCCAUGCACCGGGAGCCCGAUGUGGGAUUCGAUCCCGGGUCUCCAGGAUCGCGCCCUGGGCCAAAGGCAGGCGCCAAACCGCUGCGCCACCCAGGGAUCCCUCAGAGCCAGACUUUAAAGCCAGUUCUGAGACUAAAGUUCUUCCCACAUUGCCAAAUUAAAUAGUUUGUGGCCUUGAUCAAGACAGUCCCUCUCCAGGCUUAGUUUCCUCAGAUAUAAACUGGGGCAGGUUGAAGAGAUGAUCUCCACAGUUCCUUCCAGACCCAGUGAUCUCUGGUAAAGUUAACUCCUUGGCAAAAUUAUUAAAAAAAAAAAAAAAAAAAAAAA
RNAcentral lists this long non-coding RNA (2152 nucleotides) under Canis lupus familiaris (dog). Its description in RNAcentral is "lncRNA (ENSCAFG00000055139.1)". The record is from RNAcentral. Lineage: Eukaryota; Metazoa; Chordata; Mammalia; Carnivora; Canidae.